Molecule: ribosomal RNA, 270 nt
Filed under: uncultured soil bacterium
Lineage: Bacteria
Description: partial 16S ribosomal RNA
Rfam family: Bacterial small subunit ribosomal RNA
Source: RNAcentral
CAAAGCAGUAAUGCGCUUUGGGAGGGGCCUGCGUCCGAUUAGCUCGUUGGUGGGGUAAUGGCUCACCAAGGCGACGAUCGGUAGGUGGUCUGAGAGGACGAUCACCCAGACUGGGACUGAGACACGGCCCAGACUCCUACGGGAGGCAGCAGUCGGGAAUUUUGCUCAAUGGGAGAAAGCCUGAAGCAGCAACGCCGCGUGAGGGAUGAAGGCCUUCGGGUUGUAAACCUCUUUUCCCCAGGGAAGAUUAUGACGGUACCUGGGGAAUAA